CCCCCCUCCGCCCGCCGCGAGUCACUGGGGCAUCCGCCCCUCACUGGCCCCGAAAACAUUCAGAAUGGCCAGAAUCCCUAAGAGGGGCCAGCUGAAGAACCCAUCAGGACAAGGUCAGGGAAGGCAGCAGGACAAAUAGAUGGAACAGGGAGCAAGGUCAGGGAUGCCAUUGUGGAGAAGGAGACGCAUGUGGACAGAGAAUGGCUCUGGAGCUGUGGAGCCUGGUGCAGGAUCUGACUCAGAGACACUCCAUAAACCUUUCUCAAAGAAUAUAUGAAUGCGGCGUGAAAGUGAAGCUGCUGUUUCUGCAGCACAAGGCUGUGGUGAGGAGUCCAUGAAGAGGGGCCCACCAGGCCUCAGGGGCCACUCAUGCCAGGAAGGGGCAGUCAUCCUAGGAGGAGUGGUGCUAUCAGAAGCUACCUCAGGAGAAGAAGCUGAGGCAGGCUGUCCCUGGAGGGCAAGGUCCAAUGCCGGAGACACAAGGUUCAUCAGGGACUUUGCACUUGCCAGACAAGCACUGUGCCGCUAAGCUACAUCCUUGGCCCUUCAUCCAGAGUCAUCUGCUCUCUGCCAGGCACUGUCCUUGAUGCUGAAGACUCAAGGCCGCUUCACUACAGCCCAGUCCUAAGCAUCCGCCCAUCUCCCAGCAGCCCAGCCAGGUCUCCACUGUUGACCACGACAAGGUCAACAACAAGGUGUCCACCUAGCCUCAUGGGCGCAGGAGGCCUUGCUCUCCCCAAGCUCAAGGUGGCUGCAGUCAGUUCCCACCAGGUGACAGUGAUUGCCUUAGCAGCUGGUGGGCGCUCCCUGCCCCGGAGGCCGCCCACCUUGGGUGGGACACAAGGCAGCAGACAAUGGGAAGGAAUGAGAAUUCGUGAGGCCAGCAAGGGUGGCUGGUGAGAAGGGGGUGGAGGGCGUGGGGGCUGGGUGGAGGCCAGGGAUGCAAAGCAGGUGAGGGUGGGGAGUGCCU
Heterocephalus glaber (naked mole-rat) is the source of this 970-nucleotide long non-coding RNA. The record is from Ensembl. NCBI's taxonomy places the organism in Eukaryota, Metazoa, Chordata, Mammalia, Rodentia, Bathyergidae.